GGCCCAAUGGUCUAGUAGUAUGAUUCGCCCUUCGGGAGUUCGACUCCCUUCGAAUAAUUCGAAGUGAUUGGGCGAGGUCCCGGGUUCAAUUCCCGGUUGGGCCC
This is a non-coding RNA of Collybia nuda, 104 nucleotides long. Lineage: Eukaryota; Fungi; Basidiomycota; Agaricomycetes; Agaricales; Clitocybaceae. The record is from the annotation of a GenBank genome assembly.